This 467-nucleotide ribosomal RNA is filed under the name uncultured bacterium. RNAcentral's name for it is "partial 16S ribosomal RNA". It matches the Rfam family "Bacterial small subunit ribosomal RNA", at positions 28 to 507 of the family's 1533-position model. The record is from RNAcentral.
GACGAACGCUGGCGGCGUGCUUAACACAUGCAAGUCGAACGGAAAGGCCUCUUUCGGGGGGUACUCGAGUGGCGAACGGGUGAGUAACACGUGAGUAACCUGCCCUUGACUUUGGGAUAACUUCAGGAAACGGGGGCUAAUACCGGAUAGGAGCUCCUGCUGCAUGGUGGGGGUUGGAAAGUUUCGGCGGUUGGGGAUGGACUCGCGGCUUAUCCGCUUGGUGGUGGGGUAGUGGCUUACCAAGGCUUUGACGGGUAGCCGGCCUGAGAGGGUGAGCGGCGACAUUGGGACUGAGAGACGGCACAGACUCCUACGGGAGGCAGCAGUGGGGAAUAUUGCACAAUGGGUGGAAGCCGGAUGCAGAAACGCCGUGGGCGGGAUGACGGCCUUCGGGUUGUAAACCGCUUUCGCUCAUGACGAAGCUUUGUGUGACGGUAGUGGGUAAAGAAGCACCGGCUAACUACGUG